CCUACGGGGGGCAGCAGUGGGGAAUAUUGCACAAUGGGCGCAAGCCUGAUGCAGCCAUGCCGCGUGUAUGAAGAAGGACUUCGGGUUGUAAAGUACUUUCAGCGGGGAGGAAGGUGUUGUGGUUAAUAACCGCAGCAAUUGACGUUACCCGCAGUAGAUGCACCGGCUGACUCCGUGCCAGCAGCCGAGGUAAUACGGAGGGUGCAAGCGUCAAUCGGAAUUACUGGGCGUAAAGCGCACGCAGGCGGUCUGUCCAGUCGGAUGUGAAAUCCCCGGGCUCAACCUGGGAACUGCAUUCGAAACUGGCAGGCUAGAGUCUUGUAGAGGGGGGUAGAAUUCCAGGUGUAGCGGUGAAAUGCGUAGAGAUCUGGAGGAAUACCGGUGGCGAAGGCGGCCCCCUGGACAAAGACUGACGCUCAGGUGCGAAAGCGUGGGGAGCAAACAGGAUUAGAUACCCGAGUAGUC
Molecule: ribosomal RNA, 465 nt
Filed under: uncultured bacterium
Lineage: Bacteria
Description: bacterial SSU rRNA
Rfam family: Bacterial small subunit ribosomal RNA
Source: RNAcentral